AAAAGAGAUAACUGGUAUUCUUGUCCCAGUGAAUAGUUCUUCAUUUGUAUUUUUUCUGUUGUGGUGCCUUGAGUUCGUUUUUCUGUGUUUUUUUUUUUGUUGGAAAAUGUCUGCAUCAUUCAUGAUUCAUGCACACAAAGGAUUGGAGUCAGCAAAUGGCCAUAAUGUGGUGGCAUUCCUCCGGAACAAUCAAAAACAAUCAAAACUACAACACAAAGAAAUCAAAAAUGUUGAACAUUUUUUAAGCAUUUGUGUGGAAUUUUUGUUCCAAAAUGUGGCAUAACUUUUGGGAUAUGUGGAAAAAUGGUCAUGUGACCUAUCAAAAUAGGCCAGUAAAUCAGAAAUUCAGCCAAAAAUUGAAAAUUCUUUUUUCAAUUGCUUUUGAAGAAUUUUAAGCACAAAUCUGGAAUGUAAUUUUCAAAAUUUUUGAAUCGGUGCCACAAUGGGCCCCAUCAAGGGUUGAUAUUUCACAAAAAAUUCAAAUAUUUGAACGGAAAUAUUUUUUGACAAUUUUUGAGGAAAUUUUGACCCAAAUUUUCGAUCCAAACUUUUUUUGAUAACUUUUGAGCCAUAACUAGGGUCAUUAUUUUCUGGGUUAUUGAAAAAGGUGCCUUGAAACCUGUCAAAAUGAAGUAAAAUUUUGACUGAAAAUCAAAAUAUUCGUGUUCAAUAAUUUUUGAGCACAUUAAAAGAACUUUGAGUUUGAACUAAAAUCAUGGUUUUUGGAUAAAAUGCAACGCUACAUAUCAAAAUGAGUUAAAAUCUGCUAGAAAAUUGAAUAUUGUAACGAAAAUGUUCAUCAGACAUUUUUGUAUGUUUUUAAAUACAAAAUUGAGUCGUAAUUAAUGUUUAUAUUUUUGAAAAAUGUGUCAUACUUAGCUACCUGCUUAAAAUACAAAUUUUUAAAAAUUUUCACUCUUCCUCCUGUAGGUCUUGUCCUCUUUUUUCAAAAUCAACUUUCCAAAAAAGAACAUUGCGUUUAGGUCUCUUGAAAUUAAAUUUUCAAAAACUGUUCUUGUUUAAAAAUAAAUAAAAAAAAGAGGCAUUUCAACCAUCAAAAAACGAAACAGGACAUGAAAAUCUUCAUAAGUUCUAUGAAUACUUACAAUAUCAAUCAAAUACGUUAAUUUUCCUUAUUUUUGUUUUUUUGUACUUAUUUUUUUCUCUGUAUAGACUAGACAAUGAAAAUUAAGUUAUGUAUAUUUAUACAUACUUGUAUUAUGUUUGUUAUUUUCUUAUAAAUAUACAUUCAAUUACCACAA
Planococcus citri (citrus mealybug) is the source of this 1262-nucleotide long non-coding RNA. RefSeq lists it as uncharacterized. The transcript has 2 exons. The record is from RefSeq and is a predicted model, not a curated record. NCBI's taxonomy places the organism in Eukaryota, Metazoa, Arthropoda, Insecta, Hemiptera, Pseudococcidae.